GAUGAACGCUGGCGGCGUGCCUAAUACAUGCAAGUCGAGCGAACGGACGAGAAGCUUGCUUCUCUGAUGUUAGCGGCGGACGGGUGAGUAACACGUGGAUAACCUACCUAUCAGACUGGGAUCACUUCGGGAAACCGGCGCUAAUACCGGAUGAUCUUUUGAACCGCAUGGUUCAAAAGUGAAAGACGGUCUUGCUGUCACUUAUAGAUGGAUCCGCGCUGCAUUAGCUAGUUGGUAAGGUAACGGCUUACCAAGGCAACGAUGCAUAGCCGACCUGAGAGGGUGAUAGGCCACCCUGGAACUGGGACACGGUCAAGACUCCUACGGGAGGGAGCAGUAGCGAAUCUUCCGCAAUGGGCGAAAGCCUGACGGAGCAACGCCGCGUGAGUGAUGAAGGUCUUCGGAUCGUAAAACUCUGUUAUUAGGGAAGAACAGAUGUGUAAGUAAAUGUGCACAUCUUGACGGUACCUAAUCAGAAAGCCACGGCUAACUACGUG
This 497-nucleotide ribosomal RNA is filed under the name uncultured bacterium. RNAcentral describes it as "partial 16S ribosomal RNA". It matches the Rfam family "Bacterial small subunit ribosomal RNA", at positions 28 to 507 of the family's 1533-position model. The record is from RNAcentral.